Molecule: small RNA, 115 nt
Filed under: Arabidopsis thaliana (thale cress)
Lineage: Eukaryota; Viridiplantae; Streptophyta; Magnoliopsida; Brassicales; Brassicaceae
Description: ATSL168370
Source: RNAcentral
AACAAAACCUACGAAGGCUUUUGAAAAUCCCAAGGUUUCGUAAAACCUGGCUCUGAUACCAAACUGUAACACCCCAAAUUCGGUAGAAUUUUGAAAGUAUUACUAAAAAUAAUAU